CAAGUAAAAUCAUCAAUUCAGUAAUCGUAUAUCAGAAGUACAGCACAAAAUAUGAAGAUUCGAAUCCGGAUCUCCGAAAUAUGAAUUACGAAAAUACGUAGAACCUAUAAUUUACUAAACCGGAUCCAUUAUUUAAUUUAUCAACGUAUUAAAUCACAAUCACAAUAUUUACAAAAAAAUAAUAACCCAGUAAUUCAAAAGACAAAGUGACGUCAAGAGAAUUGUAAUGUAACAUCACACGACUUGAUCUUGACAGUGACUUUAGUUAUAACGUUUUUGCGUCAGUUAAUCAAAGGCUAUUCAACAAGUUUGUAAAAACCCUUAACGAAGACAACAUCUAUUAGUACGAAUCGAACCAAUUGACGUCGAUAAUUUAAACUUGGAAUGCUCUUGCGCAUAUAUAAAUCGAAGGGGGGCGCGGUUGCGUCAAACCGUAUCGAACGCUUGUGCUGUGAAGACGUGUUUGUGCAAUCAUUGUGAAAAUGUAUACCAAUCCGUUUGAGCGUAAACAUUCAUCUUUAAGACAAACAUUGGAUCGCAUUAUAGUGGAGACCAGACAUAGCAUCAGGAAGAAGCUGAGCCUGAAUAUAUCAAGGGCUAGUUCAUCGUCUAGUACGUCUUCGAGAUCCUCAAUUUACGAGUUCAAGAAGUACAAUGAGGAGAGAUGAAAGUGCCGUGUUCUGUGUGGAUAACAGUUUUUUGUGAUGCUAGUUCUGCUCAAUGAAAAGUCAGAACAGAGAACAUCGGACGUCAAUCUCACGUCACUCGAGCCAUUACAAACGCCCGAAUGAGUGUUAAUGAAGAUAUAACUUAGAAAAUAUAUCAUUUUAAUUGUCAAAA
Molecule: long non-coding RNA, 840 nt
Organism: Plodia interpunctella (Indianmeal moth)
Lineage: Eukaryota; Metazoa; Arthropoda; Insecta; Lepidoptera; Pyralidae
Exons: 2
Source: RefSeq, a predicted model, not a curated record